Long non-coding RNA from Brassica napus (rape), 2201 nucleotides. RefSeq lists it as uncharacterized. Lineage: Eukaryota; Viridiplantae; Streptophyta; Magnoliopsida; Brassicales; Brassicaceae. The record is from RefSeq and is a predicted model, not a curated record. The transcript has 3 exons.
AGUAGGUUUGAAAAGAUUUAAUGAUUUACAUAUAAAUUUUCUAAAGCGAAAAACAAGUGCUCUAGAUUUAUUGUUAAAUAAACAAGGGAAAAUUGCCAAAACGGAACAAAAAAACAACAUAGUUGUCCCUAUAGUAUAAAACCAUCACUAAGUUGUCCCUAUAAUAUAAUAUUUUUCAUAAUACCAAAACUAACAUUUCCUUAAUCGAAUUAAACACAAAUUAAAAUCAUUUUUAAAAAGUUUAACGAAAAGAGAUAAAAAAAAUGAGGCGAAUAAUGUUUUAGAAAGAAAAAAAAUGUAAAAACAAUAAAAAAAAAAGAACACAGGACACGGACCAAAAAUAUCCUGUAAACUAAUUACAGUUGGUUUCUACCCUCUCUUUCUCUCUGACGAGAGGAACAAGACACGAUUAUGUGUCUUCGCCGGUGAAAUCGAGCUUCCCUUCCCUUCCGGUGUGACCUCUUCGUCUGUCCCUUUCUCUCAGUCGCUACGCCUCUCCGCCUCUCAGCCUCUGUAUCUAUGCCUCUCUCUUUCUCCAACAUCCCUAGAAGCAAGCCGUGAGAUAAAACUGAGAAACAUAAUAGCUCUUGAGCAGUGCCAUUACCCUAAACACAACCACGUCUGUAGCUACGCCUUAUUCCAUUGACACUGAUAAAGACGUUGACUUGCUUCUCGAGAAAGGAAUACUAAAAAGUUGGAUUUGGCAACCCGCUAACGUUGCGCAGAUGGUGAACAAGCUCGUGACAGUCAUCCUAGAUCCUGGUUCUUACUAUUAUGAUAUAGCGGGUGAAGUCAACAAGUCCUCAAGCGUGUGUAUUUCGGUAACCCGUGGACAGGGACAGCCACCAUCGGCGCUACGUUUCUAUUGGCGAUGACACUUAUCCAGACUUAGGCAUGGACUGUUCAGGUUAAGUAGAAUGAACGUUAGAGAUGCCGUUGCAUCUCUAUCUCUAGUUGGUUUGCAGUUUAACUGGAACUUCCUUAAUUUUCGGAAAACCAGUUUUUUUAACUGAAACUUCCUUAAUUUUCGUAAAACCAGUUUUUUAAUCCGUAGAAGACACCUUCUGCACCGUGUAGAAUCAUAAUAAAAAUCAUGAAUACAAUUUCUACUUCUUGUAGACGUUUGUGUUAAGUUUAGAUUUCGCAUACCCGAAAUUUUAGAAUACUUCAUAAAAGUAGAAACUGUAUUCAAGAUAAAAGUAGAAAUCUUUACAAUUAAUAGAAUUUGCAUUCCUCAUAUUUAGAAUUUUAAUCACAAGUAGAUUGUUUUUUCUAAAAAAAGUAGAUGAACUUGUUUGUUCUGGAAUUCGUUUUCUACUUACCCAUUUUCUGUAGAAGACGAAUUCUACUUUUAGUAGAACGUAAUUUUAAAAUUUUAUUUAUCAAUUUUUUCAACCAAAAAAAAAUAUGUGUUUAUGUAUGUAGGUGUUUUAUUAAUUUUUUAUAUUUUUAAUAUUUUUUUGAAUUUAUAAAAAUAAUUAUUUUAUUAAUUUUCAGAAAUGAAAGGGUAAAAGAGAGAAAAAAAUGGAUAAAAAUGGUUUUAUACCAUAAGGACAACUAUAUUGUUUUUUUUUUCCGUUUUGGCAAUUUCUCCAAUAAACAAAAAGGAAAGAAAAAUCUGUAGCUUUAGAAAAUCUUUUCAAAGCAUGAUUGGUAAAGAUUUAGGGGGUCCUAGUGGAAAUUGGAUUAAUAAUGAGUCUUAGAAUUUUCAAGUUUAGUGUUAUUGGUAUAUAGAUUCUCACAUUCUCAUUUUUUUUGUCAACAACUUUACAGACUCAUAUUCUCACAUUCUCAUUAAAAUCUAGUUUUAUUGGUUUGAUGAUUCUAUAAAUCUAUACAAAAUCAUUUGUUAUUCAAAAAGUUUGGAUUUUAAUGAUUCUACAAAUCUAUUAAAGUAAGUGUUAUUGGGAGUUGAAUUCUUAACAUUUUAACUCACAAAACAAGAUUUUGAGAAUACUACAUGUUUCCCUUGAAUUCUUAAAAUCAUGACAUUAAUUUAUUUUCAUUGAUUUUCACAAUAUAAAAAAUUCUCUAGUACAACUCUUUCCAAAUUUAACAAAUUUCUCAACUUUUAAAAUCAACAAACUCUAUAGAAAUCUAAGUCCCACUAAAAUCAAUAAAUCUCUCAACUUUUAAAAUCAACAAACUCUAUAGAAAUCUACAACACUUUUAAAGCACUUCCCAAUCAACCCCAUAGUUCA